Zea mays is the source of this 1612-nucleotide RNA transcript. It is a transcript of the gene named Protein TILLER ANGLE CONTROL 1, with no coding region annotated. The transcript is spliced from 5 exons. The record is from RefSeq and is marked provisional. NCBI's taxonomy places the organism in Eukaryota, Viridiplantae, Streptophyta, Magnoliopsida, Poales, Poaceae.
CCCAUCACCUCCCGCCUGACCUCCCUCGAGCUCCUGCCGCGCCUCCCGCGGGGCCCUCGCCUGCCAGUCCCCGCUCCUCCUCGUCGCCCUUUUGCCCUCCUUCACCGAGGCGUUAUUCCACGUCUCGCUCCGCUGCCUCCACCGCUUCCGCUUCCCCUGGCGCCCCCCUCCCGCCGCACCCUCCACUACUACCCCCGAGGAUCCUGAGCAGCUCUCCACCUCCCCCAAGGUCCCCGCGCCGUUCACUCGCGUCAUCAUCCCUGAUUCAAUUAUGGGGCGAGUGAGGCCUCAGUGAAAGAAUUUACUUGGCUUGAGUCAGGCCAAGCCAGUGCAACCAAAACUCCAUCUUUUGUCUCCUGGACCAUUCAAUUAUGGGGCUAGUUCUUCAUAUAAAGCCAUGCCAUGCCUUUGAGGCUAAUGCUACUGUCUGCCUCUCUCCUGUGAUUUCAGAUUGGUCCUAGAGACAUGGGCCUAAAGGUGUUUCAUUGGUUGAAUCGGAGGAUGCAUUCUAAUACUGAGUACUGCAGCAUCCAUGGUAGCAAAGCCAUGGAGGACAAGGACUCUGUGCCUCAUAGUGUGGUUGAGAAAGAUACUGAAGCCCUUCUGCUCCAUGAUGUGCUUCUUAAUGGUAUACUUGCAAUUGGCACACUUGGCCAUCACGUGGACUCACUUUGCCCUGUGGCUUGCAUUGAAGAAGAUGAUCUCUUUAUCAUGGAUGAUGAGAAAGCAAUUGUGGAAGAGAGAGAUGAUGAGGAACCCAGGAAUGAUCAGGUGAAAGAAGAUGUUGCAUUGGAAACAGAGCCAUGUGAACCAGUAUGGCCUAUUGUUGAGCCUGCUAAGAUGCAUUCAUUGUCAAUGAAAGAAGACAACUUUACAUGCUUUGUAGCAGAAGAAAUCCUGAUACGUGAGGUGGAAGAUGGGGGAGGUGCUAAUAUCCAGGAACGACCACUUCUGAUGUUAGAAAAGGUGGAGAAAGUAAGAACUACACUUGCUGAUUUAUUUGCAGCAGAAGUAUUCUCAUCAAGUUCUCCAAGGGAGUAUAGUUGCCAGGAUAUCAUUGACGUUGCUGUGGCAUCCACUUCAAAGCAUGCAUCAUGCAUGGAAAAGAUGCAUCAAAAGAAACCAAGGAAGCCAACACCAAAACCACUGAAAGCGACAAGAAAAUUAAGUCGGUAGGUCAUGAGGAAGAUGUUGGGGAAGAAGAUCCACCCAGAGCAGCUCAAUGGGCGUAGCAAUGCAGAGGGCCCCCUUACUGCAUGAUGUUUAUUCUUGCCGACAAAUUUGCUUCUCUAUUUGGUUACAUUGGAUCCCUAUGGCUCAGAUUCCUUGCCAGAGAGAAGCGUCCAUGGACAGUCGUCGACGAUGUGGAAGUUCCGUUUUUUGUUGUUGUGUUUUGUCGCCAGUGAAGCGUGCAUGAAUACCAACCAUUCUGCUUUCCCAUGUUCUCUUGCUUAUUUGCAUGUAUAAAUCAACUGUUGGGGUGUGUGUCUGUGAUCUUGUAAGCUGUCAUCAUCUGGCGCCACGGCCUGCGCUGCGCUGCACUGCACUGCCUUGUCGUCGCGGCAUGCCAAAUAUAUAUAUUCUUUAAUAAAAUAUCUGCUUUACGUUUGCA